Molecule: transfer RNA, 73 nt
Filed under: Camelus bactrianus (Bactrian camel)
Lineage: Eukaryota; Metazoa; Chordata; Mammalia; Artiodactyla; Camelidae
Also listed under: 1 other name
Rfam family: tRNA
About the family: Transfer RNA (tRNA) molecules are approximately 80 nucleotides in length.
Source: Rfam by way of RNAcentral
GAAGGUAUAGCUCAAGCAGUAGAGUGCAUGCUUAGCAUGCACGAGGUCCUGGGUUCAAUCCCCAGUACCUCCU